This 70-nucleotide transfer RNA is filed under the name Chelodina steindachneri (Steindachners long-necked turtle). Its description in RNAcentral is "tRNA-His". It matches the Rfam family "tRNA". Rfam says of the family: Transfer RNA (tRNA) molecules are approximately 80 nucleotides in length. Their secondary structure includes four short double-helical elements and three loops (D, anti-codon, and T loops). The record is from RNAcentral. Lineage: Eukaryota; Metazoa; Chordata; Testudines; Chelidae.
GUUAAUAUAGUUUCAAAUAAAACAUUAGAUUGUGGAUCUAAAAAUAGAAGUUAAAGCCUCCUUAUAAACC